UGCAAGUCGAGCGGACCUGAUGGAGUGCUUGCACUCCUGAUGGUUAGCGGCGGACGGGUGAGUAACACGUAGGCAACCUGCCCUCAAGACUGGGAUAACUACCGGAAACGGUAGCUAAUACCGGAUAAUUUAUUUCACAGCAUUGUGGAAUAAUGAAAGACGGAGCAAUCUGUCACUUGGGGAUGGGCCUGCGGCGCAUUAGCUAGUUGGUGGGGUAAUGGCUCACCAAGGCGACGAUGCGUAGCCGACCUGAGAGGGUGAACGGCCACACUGGGACUGAGACACGGCCCAGACUCCUACGGGAGGCAGCAGUAGGGAAUCUUCCGCAAUGGGCGAAAGCCUGACGGAGCAACGCCGCGUGAGUGAUGAAGGUUUUCGGAUCGUAAAGCUCUGUUGCCAAGGAAGAACGUCUUCUAGAGUAACUGCUAGGAGAGUGACGGUACUUGAGAAGAAAGCCCCGGCUAACUACGUGCCAGCAGCCGCGGUAAUACGUAGGGGGCAAGCGUUGUCCGGAAUUAUUGGGCGUAAAGCGCGCGCAGGCGGUUCUUUAAGUCUGGUGUUUAAACCCGAGGCUCAACUUCGGGUCGCACUGGAACUGGGGGACUUGAGUGCAGAAGAGGAGAGUGGAAUUCCACGUGUAGCGGUGAAAUGCGUAGAUAUGUGGAGGAACACCAGUGGCGAAAGCGACUCUCUGGGCUGUAACUGACGCUGAGGCGCGAAAGCGUGGGGAGCAACAGGAUUAGAUACCCUGGUAGUCACGCCGUAAACGAUGAAUGUUAGGUGUUAGGGGUUUCGAUACCCUUGGUGCGGAAGUUAACACAUUAAGCAUUCCGCCUGGGGAGUACGGUCCCAAGACUGAAAUUCAAAGGAAUUGACGGGGACCCGCCCAACCAGUGGAGUAUGUGGUUUAAUUGGAAGCAACGGGAAGACCCUUACCAAGUCUUGACAUCCUUCUGAAUCCUUUAGAGAUAGAGGCGCCUUUCGGGACAGAGGUGCCAGGUGGUGCAUGGUUGUCGUCAGCUGGUGUCGUGAGAUGUUGGGUUAAGUCCCGCAACGAGCCCAACCCUUGAUUUUAGUUGCCACCACUUAGGGUGGGCACUCUAGAAUGACUGCCGGUGACAAACCGGAGGAAGGCGGGGAUGACGUCAAAUCAUCAUGCCCCUUAUGACUUGGGCUACACACGUACUACAAUGGCUGGUACAACGGGAAGCGAAGCCGCGAGGUGGAGCCAAUCCUAUAAAAGCCAGUCUCAGUUCGGAUUGCAGGCUGCAACUCGCCUGCAUGAAGUCGGAAUUGCUAGUAAUCGCGGAUCAGC
This 1315-nucleotide ribosomal RNA is filed under the name Paenibacillus sp. LC518. RNAcentral's name for it is "bacterial SSU rRNA". It matches the Rfam family "Bacterial small subunit ribosomal RNA", at positions 56 to 1353 of the family's 1533-position model. The record is from RNAcentral. Lineage: Bacteria; Bacillati; Bacillota; Bacilli; Caryophanales; Paenibacillaceae. RNAcentral also lists the same sequence under 1 other name.